GACGUAGGGUGCAAGCGUUGUCCGGAUUUAUUGGGCGUAAAGAGUUCGUAGGCGGUUGCCUAAGUCUGAUGUUAAAGCCCGGAGCUCAACUCCGGUAUGGCAUUGGAAACUGGGCAGCUUGAGUAUGAUAGAGGUUACGGGAAUUCCUGGUGUAGCGGUGAAAUGCGUAGAUAUCAGGAGGAACACCGGUGGCGAAGGCGGCCUUCUGGACAGUGACUGACGCUGAGACGCGAAAGCGUGGGGAGCGAACAGG
This 253-nucleotide ribosomal RNA is filed under the name uncultured bacterium. RNAcentral describes it as "partial 16S ribosomal RNA". It matches the Rfam family "Bacterial small subunit ribosomal RNA", at positions 524 to 776 of the family's 1533-position model. The record is from RNAcentral.